RNAcentral lists this ribosomal RNA (266 nucleotides) under Symbiodinium sp. CCMP2430. RNAcentral describes it as "partial Eukaryotic large subunit ribosomal RNA". It matches the Rfam family "Eukaryotic large subunit ribosomal RNA", at positions 3017 to 3340 of the family's 3401-position model. Lineage: Eukaryota; Dinophyceae; Suessiales; Symbiodiniaceae. The record is from RNAcentral.
GAGUAAUCGGAUUCAGUACGAGAGGAACCAUCCGUUCACACAUUUGGUAUUGCGCUCGGCUGAAAAGCCGAUGGCGCGAAGCUACGUGUGACAUGCUAAUAGCUGAACGCCUCUAAGCUAGAAGCAGUCCUCGAUGGAGCACUACCUACCGGUCCGUCGUUAACCGACUACGUAUAGUUUUAUGAAUAGCAUUGCGACCGCAAUUUCGAACGGCCGGACCGAUACAUCCUUUGUAGACGACUUAAAUGCGCUGCUGGGUACUGUAA